This 526-nucleotide ribosomal RNA is filed under the name Uracanthella punctisetae. RNAcentral's name for it is "eukaryotic LSU rRNA". It matches the Rfam family "Eukaryotic large subunit ribosomal RNA", at positions 826 to 1347 of the family's 3401-position model. The record is from RNAcentral. Lineage: Eukaryota; Metazoa; Arthropoda; Insecta; Ephemeroptera; Ephemerellidae.
GUGAACUAUGCCUGGCCAGGACGAAGUCAGGGGAAACCCUGAUGGAGGUCCGUAGCAAUUCUGACGUGCAAAUCGAUUGUCAGAGCUGGGUAUAGGGGCGAAAGACUAAUCGAACCAUCUAGUAGCUGGUUCCCUCCGAAGUUUCCCUCAGGAUAGCUGGCGUUCAGUGAAAGGAGUCCCAUCCGGUAAAGCGAAUGAUUAGAGGCCUUGGGGACGAAACGCCCUCAACCUAUUCUCAAACUUUAAAUGGGUGGGAACCGCGGCUAUCUCGAAAGAUGUAGCCGCGGUCCCGGAUCAGAACGCCAAGUGGGCCAUUUUUGGUAAGCAGAACUGGCGCUGUGGGAUGAACCAAACGCCGGGUUAAGGCGCCUAAUGAACGCUCAUGAGACACCAUGAAAGGUGUUGGUUGCUAGAGACAGCAGGACGGUGGCCAUGGAAGUCGGAAUCCGCUAAGGAGUGUGUAACAACUCACCUGCCGAAGCAACUAGCCCUGAAAAUGGAUGGCGCUGAAGCGUUCAGCCUAUAC